Molecule: transfer RNA, 74 nt
Filed under: Stegodyphus mimosarum
Lineage: Eukaryota; Metazoa; Arthropoda; Arachnida; Araneae; Eresidae
Rfam family: tRNA
About the family: Transfer RNA (tRNA) molecules are approximately 80 nucleotides in length.
Source: Rfam by way of RNAcentral
GCCUUCGUGGUGUAAUGGUUAAGCACGCUGGACGCGUAUCUCAGAGGUCCGUGGUUCGAGUCCUCAUGAAGGCG